Molecule: non-coding RNA, 103 nt
Organism: Schizothecium vesticola
Lineage: Eukaryota; Fungi; Ascomycota; Sordariomycetes; Sordariales; Schizotheciaceae
Source: the annotation of a GenBank genome assembly
GGACCGCUAGCUCAGUGGUAGAGCAACCGGCUGCAGCUGUUCCAAUCUGAUAGCUUGGAAGAGUGGUUCCGGUAGGUCUCGUGUUCAACUCACGAGCGGUCCU